This is a long non-coding RNA of Morone saxatilis (striped sea-bass), 256 nucleotides long. RefSeq lists it as uncharacterized. The record is from RefSeq and is a predicted model, not a curated record. NCBI's taxonomy places the organism in Eukaryota, Metazoa, Chordata, Actinopteri, Moronidae. The transcript is spliced from 3 exons.
UGGGAAAAUAAGCUUCAGGAUGAGCAGAAAAAGAGAGACAAAACCGAGAAAGAACUGAAGAGCACCAAAGAGGCUUUUGAAAGAAACAAUGAUGAGCUGAAGAAAACUCAAAUUGCACUGGAGCAAAGGGAUGCUGACAUCAGGAAGCUGAAGAAAGAAAAAGACGAAUUGGAGAAGCAGCUUCAGGAUAAGAAGCAGAGAAAGGGGGCUGCUAAGAACCUGCAGAUCCCAGAGAAGAUGCUGAUGGACAAGAACA